Molecule: long non-coding RNA, 2613 nt
Organism: Junco hyemalis (dark-eyed junco)
Lineage: Eukaryota; Metazoa; Chordata; Aves; Passeriformes; Passerellidae
Source: Ensembl
UAAGCUGAAACAUUCACCCUCAAAUUAACCUUUGUAUCUUACUGUGAUCUAUCCACCUUCCAUCUUAACCACAGACAUUAUUAGUAUGGAAUACUAUUCCUACACACUUCCCUGCAAACACUUUUGAAUCCACGUGCUACAAAACACAAUCUUCUAAAGCCUGAUCUGGAGGUUUCAGUUUCAGAGGGAGAACUUCCAUCGCCUGAUGGCCAGGAGUGAGAAGAAUUCUUAAUUGUUUCAGCUUUGUUAAUAAUUUUUGUAUGCUGAUUGCUUCAAUGCACCAGUACCAGCCAACACAGGAAGAUCCGAAACGCAGGAAUCGUGAGUUCCACUAGGUACAUCAGGCUACUCAUGACUUUGAACUAUUCAAGGGUGCAGUCAGGUGGCAGCUUUACAGUGCAGUAGCCUUCUCAGGAGCCCCAAGGCAUGGACAGUCUUCAGUGAAAUGGAUUGUUUCCUGCCUGGAAAUCUCAUGCAGCUAUUACAGAGAGGAGACAAGAUGCUCCAGUGAGAUUACGUGCCUAGAAGGAUACUGUGUGGAGUUUACAGAGAUAAAUCAUGCUGUGACUUCGCCUCCCAGGCUGCGACACCAUAUGAGAGGCACAAUCCAGCUGGCUGCUCCAGACUGUCAGCUGAGACACAGUAGCUCACUGUGCAUGUGCUGUUGCCCCAUUGUGAAGCAGAGUAACGUGGGUUCAUGUGAGUCACCAUCAACUGACCUUGUUUGUCGACGCAGUGCAGCAAUGGAUCUCACCCUGUUACCACAUCUGAAAUGAAGGACCCUGACUAACAGCUGGGGGACACGAACCUCUACAGGCCAGCACAGGCUUUCUGCCUGACAAACCCUUAAUUUUCUUUCAUUAACACACUUGGGUUUAGUAGACACAGUUAGAAAUAGCAUUUUAUUGCAUAUAUCACUGUAGCAUUUCAGGUUUCUAAUUGAAGCAACUCAGGCAAUAUUCUAGAUCAUAAUCCAAAAGCAAGCAAGAGCUAGAACUCUUCUGGCUGCUUUGAAAACUAAUGUAUUUGGUUGUAAUACAAAUCUUGCUGAACAAAAUUUCUUUCUAACUCUUUAUCUUCAGUUUGCUUACUAGAUUUGAGUGAUAUUGAUCUGAUAACUGCUUUUCUAAAUCAGAUUUAAUCAUAUUGCUCAUUUGUGUUUUUACAACAACUUCCUCUCAGAUUAUUUUGUAUCAUCUUUCUGUUAUUUUCCCUGGUUUUGCUACCAUUUCUUAAUGAACUGAAUAGUACAGUGCAUGGUGGAGAUUCCUGCCAUGUAAAAUUCAAGAUGCUUUGACAUGGCAGAAAUGAAUACUUUCAAAAACCUAUCAAGUGGUGAAUUACAACAUUUUUUGUGUGUGUUCUGCUACAUACAACACAGGGAUCAUAAUAUAUGCAAAAGAUGUUUCUACAUGAAAGUUUUGGUACAAUAUCUCCCCUGAAAUUAUCUUUAUCCAGUACUCAUCCUUUCUCCACCCUGCCUGCAAAAGCAAACCGACAAUAAGGAAAACUAGCAGUCCUCUCCUGCCUGGGCAAAACAGGCCUGGAAAGGGGGAAAAUCUUUCUUUCCUGAGAAAAACAAAGAGCUCCAGAUAUGAACUAGUGGUUGUCUCACCUGCAUGAAACAAUGGGUGUUUGUGAGCUAUUUAGCUAACUUUGAAAUUGCUUUCAAAAAGGCUCAUAAAAACUGAGGCUAACAUCUUGCUGUAGCCAGCCCUGCAGCUCACAGAUCUCACCAAAAAAAUGUGCUACUUAUGCAUAAUUAAAGGAUCUGCAAACUACCAGUCAAGAUAAAAAGAUCAAGGCUAUCAUAAGCCAUGCUGCCUUAUGGGAUGAGCUCACCAGCAGCAGAAAAAGAUGUGUUUUCUUUCUGUGAGGAUUACUUGCUCUGGCAUGGUAUAGGAGUUUGACAAUCUCCUCUCCAGUAGCUCUACUUGAGGGCACAAUGGAGUCUUUUUUCUAGGACAGCUCCUGUGUCAGAAAAUGCCAUCAAAAUUAUUUGCCUAUCUGGUCUGAUAUUUAGCGAGGACCCACACAGAGCAGAGCUGGUGUGGAAUGUUAUUUAUUUACUUCUUGAGAAAGUGUUUAUGGACCAACACUGAAGUUUUUUCAUGGGAAUAUGUCAACUCAGAUAAAGUUUUUGGCAGGAAACUUUCCUACUGUACAGAACCCAAGCUGGAAAGACCUGGGAAAGUGCAGAGGUCUCAAGCUGAUGGAAACAGAGAAUUCAGUAUCUGUCUUGUCUAUAUGUUUUGCCUCAGAAAGCAGUUGUAAUUAGCAGGCCUGAGCCAUGUCACUUGCGCCUAUAUUGUCUUUUUUUAAGAAGAUGUCAAAAGAAAUUAACUUUUUUUUUCUCCCUUUCCUUCUUAUUUUCUUUCUGUAUGAAUGUUUUGGGAGGAUCAGUGUGGAACCUAGACAAACAGCGAGGGCUGCAAAAUCGUUCUUGCUUUCUUUCUGUUCCUAAUACUAUUUCUUCUUAGGAUCCUGUGUAGCGUCAGGGAAUUUGGAAGCAAAACUUAAUGUUGAUUAAAGUCUUGAGCUCAAGUUCUAUUCCAGCCUCAUCAGUUAUAAACUGUUUUCAUGUCAAUAAAUAAGCUUUCUAACUUGUUUACA